GACGAACGCUGGCGGCGUGCUUAACACAUGCAAGUCGAGCGGUAAGGCCCUUUCGGGGUACGACGAGCGGCGAACGGGUGAGUAACACGUGGGUGACCUGCCCUCCAGCUCUGGGAUAAGCCUGGGAAACGUAGGGUCUAAUACUGGAUAUGACUCCACGGUGCAUGUCGUGGGGUGGAAAGCCUUGUGCGGCUGAGGAUGGGCCCGCGGCCUAUCAGCUUGUUGGUGGGGUGAUGGCCUACCAAGGCGACGACGGGUAGCCGGCCUGAGAGGGCGACCGGCCACACUGGGACUGAGACACGGCCCAGACUCCUACGGGAGGCAGCAGUGGGGAAUCUUGCGCAAUGGGCGAAAGCCUGACGCAGCGACGCCGCGUGAGGGAUGACGGCCUGU
Molecule: ribosomal RNA, 393 nt
Filed under: uncultured bacterium
Lineage: Bacteria
Description: bacterial SSU rRNA
Rfam family: Bacterial small subunit ribosomal RNA
Source: RNAcentral